RNAcentral lists this ribosomal RNA (346 nucleotides) under uncultured bacterium. RNAcentral's name for it is "partial 16S ribosomal RNA". It matches the Rfam family "Bacterial small subunit ribosomal RNA", at positions 338 to 701 of the family's 1533-position model. The record is from RNAcentral.
CCUACGGGUGGCAGCAGUAGGGAAUAGUGCUCAAUGGGGGAAACCCUGAAGCAGCAACGCCGCGUGGAGGAUGAAGGUUUUAGGAUUGGAAACUCCUUUUGUUAGAGAAGAGGAGGACGGUAGCUAACGAAUAAGCACCGGCGAACGCCGUGCCAGCAGCCGCGGUAAUACGGAGGGUGCAAGCGUUACUCGGAAUCACUGGGCGUAAAGAGUGCGUAGGCGGGGUAAUAAGUCAGAUUUGAAAUCCUGUAGCUUAACUACAGAACUGCAUUUGAAACUGUUACUCUGGAGUGUGGGAGCGUUCGGUGGACUUCUUGGUGUCGCGGUUCAAUCCUUAGAGUUCACG